Molecule: ribosomal RNA, 253 nt
Filed under: uncultured bacterium
Lineage: Bacteria
Description: partial 16S ribosomal RNA
Rfam family: Bacterial small subunit ribosomal RNA
Source: RNAcentral
UACAGAGGGUGCGAGCGUUAAUCGGAAUUACUGGGCGUAAAGCGUGCGUAGACGGUUAUUUAAGUCGGGUGUGAAAUCCCCGGGCUCAACCUGGGAAUUGCAUUCGAGACUGAAUAGCUAGGGUACGGUAGAGGGAAGCGGAAUUUCCGGUGUAGCGGUGAAAUGCGUAGAUAUCGGAAGGAACAUCAGUGGCGAAAGCGGCUUCCUGGACCAGUACCGACGUUCAGGCACGAAAGCGUGGGGAGCAAACAGG